UGUUAAAAAAUUCAUUAAUUUGUAUUGUUAAAAGCUAGCGUGGCUGACGAAAUAAUCAAACAAUAACAUGUGGCAUGGUACCUCACGUUGAUGUAUAGAGACCCCUUUUUAAUAAAGAAAUAGAUGAAUUUUUUAACA
Gossypium hirsutum (cotton) is the source of this 138-nucleotide non-coding RNA. The record is from Rfam. NCBI's taxonomy places the organism in Eukaryota, Viridiplantae, Streptophyta, Magnoliopsida, Malvales, Malvaceae.